UGUCAUUUGUACAGUUCUUAAAUAUACUGUAUAGCCAUAUGGAUAUAUAUAUAUGUCACAUUUGACUAAGAAACAUUGCAGUGGUACUGUUUUCCCUGAGUGAGGUGGAUUUAUGGCAUUUUGCAACAGAAUAUGAUAGUCUCUUUGAAAUGAAACCAUCUAAUGAUAGAUUUCAAACAAAUACACGUCUGUCAUUUAAUAACCAUGCCCCGAUGUGGAAAAACACAUCUGUCUUUAUUUCAUGUCAACUGUCUAUUUGGGGCUAUGGUUUGUUUUGGACAGGACUAUAGUAACACUGUCAAAAACCGGAUGUGAUGCUGAGGAAAUUCCGAAGUUUCAUUUCCAGUCAGAACUGUUAGUCAGGAAAGGAGAACUGGCAUCUCAGCUGGCUUUCACUGCCAACAAAACAUUACUGUGCUGCAAGUUUAUAAUGUUCAACUGAAACUAAAACAAAUAUUAAUCAUGAAAAAAAUGAAUACUCGUACACAUGACAUGCACAUUUAUACUGACUACACACACUCAUGAAACACUGCUGUUACUCUAUUCAUCAUAUAUACUGAUGCCUAGUCACCUUACCCUUAUACAUAUCUACCUCAAUCGAUCCAGUAUCCCUGCACAUUGUAAAUAUGGUACUGGAACUGACCCUGUACAUAGCAUGCUUACUUUGUCAUCUUUUUAUUUCCAUAUCUCGUGGGUUUUUGUUCUCCCUUGAUUAAUGCAUUGUUAGGGUUAGAGCUCAAAUUCUUAUUUACAAUGACAGCCUACCCCAGCCAAACCCAGAUAACGCUGGGCCUAUGGUGCACCGCCCUAUUGGACUCCCAAUCACAGCCGGAUGUGAUGCAGCCUGGAUUCAAACCAGGGACUGCAGUGAUGCCUCUAGCACUGAGAUGCAGUGCCCAAACUGUACUUAUGUAUGUGACAUUAAAACUUGAAACUGAAACUUGAAAUAAAGUAAUUAACAGACCUAUUUGAAAUACUAAAAGUAUUCUGAAACGUGGAAUGACUCCAAUGUAAAACUGGAGUCAUGAGAAGGGCUAACCUAUGACCUGACCCAUCACCUUAUAUAUUACUGCCCCCCAGUUAUGACACCCCAAAAAACACACAAAAACUCUACAACCAAUAUUUCUUCUAGCCUCCCACAAAUACUUAAUGCUCUUAACACUAAAACUGAAACAAAAUAAUAUAAAAAUGAAAUAUAAAUAUUUUUUUAACAACUUAAACUAAAUAAAGUUAUGUAAAAACUAACAGAAAUAAAAACAAGUAUAAAAACACAUAACCUUGCUGUUCUGUCUCCACACUGACAUGUCAUUAUGCUACCAACAUGAUGUCAUCAUGGCCAUAAAAGUUUAAAACUAGUUUACAUUUUUUCUUUUUUUUGUUUACCUUUCAAAAUGGUAAUAUUUGGUGACACUUUACAUUAAGGUACUAUUUUAAGUGUGUUUUAAGUACAUGUAACUGCCAAAAUAAAGGAAACACUUGAAUAAAUGAUGGAUACAAAGUAUAUUGAAAGCAGGUUCUUCCACACAGGUGUGGUUCCUGAGUUAAUUAAGCAAUUAACGUCCCAUCAUGCUUAGGGUCAUGUAUAAAAAUGCUGGGCAGGCC
Long non-coding RNA from Oncorhynchus tshawytscha (Chinook salmon), 1602 nucleotides. Lineage: Eukaryota; Metazoa; Chordata; Actinopteri; Salmoniformes; Salmonidae. The record is from Ensembl.